GCCCGGGUGGCGAAACUGGUAGACGCAAGGGACUUAAAAUCCCUCAGCUGAAAGGCUAUGCGGGUUCGAUCCCCGCCCCGGGCAC
RNAcentral lists this transfer RNA (85 nucleotides) under compost metagenome. Its description in RNAcentral is "tRNA-Leu". It matches the Rfam family "tRNA". Rfam says of the family: Transfer RNA (tRNA) molecules are approximately 80 nucleotides in length. Their secondary structure includes four short double-helical elements and three loops (D, anti-codon, and T loops). Further hydrogen bonds mediate the characteristic L-shaped molecular structure. tRNAs have two regions of fundamental functional importance: the anti-codon, which is responsible for specific mRNA codon recognition, and the 3' end, to which the tRNAs corresponding amino acid is attached (by aminoacyl-tRNA synthetases). tRNAs cope with the degeneracy of the genetic code in two manners: having more than one tRNA (with a specific anti-codon) for a particular amino acid; and 'wobble' base-pairing, i.e. permitting non-standard base-pairing at the 3rd anti-codon position. The record is from RNAcentral.